This 330-nucleotide ribosomal RNA is filed under the name Babesia sp. RNAcentral describes it as "partial small subunit ribosomal RNA". It matches the Rfam family "Eukaryotic small subunit ribosomal RNA", at positions 513 to 902 of the family's 1831-position model. The record is from RNAcentral. Lineage: Eukaryota; Apicomplexa; Aconoidasida; Piroplasmida; Babesiidae.
AAUGAUGGUGACUUAAACCCUCACCAGAGUACCCUUUAGGGCAAGUCUGGUGCCAGCAGCCGCGGUAAUUCCAGCUCCAAUAGCGUAUAUUAAACUUGUUGCAGUUAAAAAGCUCGUAGUUGAAUUUCAGCGUUGUUUUCGUGUUCCCUUUUGCGGGUGUCGUCUACUUCGCUUUUUUUUAUUACUCUGAGAAAAUUAGAGUGUUUCAAGCAGGCUUUUGUCUUGAAUACUUGAGCAUGGAAUAAUAGAGUAGGACCUUGGUUCUUCUUUGUUGGUUUUUGUUACCUUGGUAAUGGUUAAUAGGAACGGUUGGGGGCAUUCGUAUUUAAA